RNAcentral lists this ribosomal RNA (106 nucleotides) under Glycine max (soybean). RNAcentral's name for it is "rRNA SSU_rRNA_eukarya". The record is from RNAcentral. Lineage: Eukaryota; Viridiplantae; Streptophyta; Magnoliopsida; Fabales; Fabaceae.
AUAACAAUACUUGACUUAUUGGAUUUGGUAAUUGGAAUGAGCACAAUCUAAAUCCCUUAAAAAGGAUCCAUUGGAGGGCAAACAGUUGUGGUAAUUCCAGCUCCAA